UAGCGCGGUGGUCCCACCUGACCCCAUGCCGAACUCAGAAGUGAAACGCCGUAGCGCCGAUGGUAGUGUGGGGUCUCCCCAUGUGAGAGUAGGGCAUUGCCAGGC
Molecule: ribosomal RNA, 105 nt
Filed under: Klebsiella oxytoca
Lineage: Bacteria; Pseudomonadati; Pseudomonadota; Gammaproteobacteria; Enterobacterales; Enterobacteriaceae
Also listed under: 1 other name
Source: RNAcentral